UGAUUGAUGGUGCUUGCACCUGAUUGACGAUGGAUCACCAGUGAGUGGCGGACGGGUGAGUAACACGUAGGUAACCUGCCCCGGAGCGGGGGAUAACAUUUGGAAACAGAUGCUAAUACCGCAUAACAACAAAAGCCACAUGGCUUUUGUUUGAAAGAUGGCUUUGGCUAUCACUCUGGGAUGGACCUGCGGUGCAUUAGCUAGUUGGUAAGGUAACGGCUUACCAAGGCGAUGAUGCAUAGCCGAGUUGAGAGACUGAUCGGCCACAAUGGAACUGAGACACGGUCCAUACUCCUACGGGAGGCAGCAGUAGGGAAUCUUCCACAAUGGGCGCAAGCCUGAUGGAGCAACACCGCGUGAGUGAAGAAGGGUUUCGGCUCGUAAAGCUCUGUUGUUGGAGAAGAACGUGCGUGAGAGUAACUGUUCACGCAGUGACGGUAUCCAACCAGAAAGUCACGGCUAACUACGUGCCAGCAGCCGCGGUAAUACGUAGGUGGCAAGCGUUAUCCGGAUUUAUUGGGCGUAAAGCGAGCGCAGGCGGUUGCUUAGGUCUGAUGUGAAAGCCUUCGGCUUAACCGAAGAAGUGCAUCGGAAACCGGGCGACUUGAGUGCAGAAGAGGACAGUGGAACUCCAUGUGUAGCGGUGGAAUGCGUAGAUAUAUGGAAGAACACCAGUGGCGAAGGCGGCUGUCUGGUCUGCAACUGACGCUGAGGCUCGAAAGCAUGGGUAGCGAACAGGAUUAGAUACCCUGGUAGUCCAUGCCGUAAACGAUGAGUGCUAGGUGUUGGAGGGUUUCCGCCCUUCAGUGCCGGAGCUAACGCAUUAAGCACUCCGCCUGGGGAGUACGACCGCAAGGUUGAAACUCAAAGGAAUUGACGGGGGCCCGCACAAGCGGUGGAGCAUGUGGUUUAAUUCGAAGCUACGCGAAGAACCUUACCAGGUCUUGACAUCUUGCGCUAACCUUAGAGAUAAGGCGUUCCCUUCGGGGACGCAAUGACAGGUGGUGCAUGGUCGUCGUCAGCUCGUGUCGUGAGAUGUUGGGUUAAGUCCCGCAACGAGCGCAACCCUUGUUACUAGUUGCCAGCAUUAAGUUGGGCACUCUAGUGAGACUGCCGGUGACAAACCGGAGGAAGGUGGGGACGACGUCAGAUCAUCAUGCCCCUUAUGACCUGGGCUACACACGUGCUACAAUGGACGGUACAACGAGUCGCAAGCUCGCGAGAGUAAGCUAAUCUCUUAAAGCCGUUCUCAGUUCGGACUGUAGGCUGCAACUCGCCUACACGAAGUCGGAAUCGCUAGUAAUCGCGGAUCAGCAUGCCGCGGUGAAUACGUUCCCGGGCCUUGUACACACCGCCCGUCACACCAUGGGAGUUUGUAACGCCCAAAGUCGGUGGCCUAA
RNAcentral lists this ribosomal RNA (1400 nucleotides) under uncultured bacterium. Its description in RNAcentral is "bacterial SSU rRNA". It matches the Rfam family "Bacterial small subunit ribosomal RNA", at positions 64 to 1438 of the family's 1533-position model. The record is from RNAcentral.